This is a long non-coding RNA of Paramisgurnus dabryanus, 914 nucleotides long. RefSeq lists it as uncharacterized. Lineage: Eukaryota; Metazoa; Chordata; Actinopteri; Cypriniformes; Cobitidae. The record is from RefSeq and is a predicted model, not a curated record.
UUCAUGCGGAUAACAACAGUGCGACUCCUGACCAAGUUCUUGGGGCAGCUGGAUGGAUACGCGGUAAACCUACAUAAGGUUUUCAAAAGCAAAGGAGGUGCUUCUGGACAGAAUAUAUCACGCAUAAUGGCAAUUGCUGACAAGCGUGAUGACAUACACCUCGAACGAGACUGUGUCAUAAAGAGUCUGUGUGUGUAUCUCAAUGAGGACAUCACAACACUUGUGAAAGAAUUCAUGGACUGCAACCCUGAAGAAGCUGAGGGACGAAUUUCUGAGACUAUGGGGCUUUGUGAUCCGUAGAAGGUGCUGGUGCUGAGGAGAAACUAGGGGAUGUUGGAGUAGUGAUAGAGGGUGUGAUGCUGCUUCAACGCUUGAAAAUCUUUCCUUUGGAUUAGCGAUCUUGUUCGGACUGAUCUACGCUCUCAACUUAAGCUAUCCUCAGAGCCUCAUUCAUAUUUGAAUUCUUCCAGAAGGUACUGAUGAAUUUGGAUGACAACAAGCUGCCCUCAAAAGUUUAAGCUCUUAAAACCAAAAUUUUGAGUGAAAAUUGCAUUUUUGGAUUGUUUGGAUUUUUCCAACAACUGUAAGUACAUUUGAAAACUUGUGAACUUUUGGAUUUGUUAUACAAACUGAUAACAAUAAUGCACCUUGUAGCUCUGAUACUCUUGACACAAAAGUUGUUAGCUCUUGUGCUAUUGAGCCAGUAGGAAACUCAUUUUUUGCCCUAAAUGUUUAAACUUGUCUUGCCAAAAUUAUGGCAAGAUAUGUUAUGUACAGUUAUAUAUAAAUGAAAAGGAAAGUAACCUGUCCUAAAGAAUGUGUUUUAUUUUAAACGGUUGCCUUAAUUUGUUAAGUACCUUUAUUACUUGCUCAGAGUGGAUGUUACCUUUGACUUGUUGAGCAAUUGCAACACA